UACGUAGGGUGCAAGCGUUAAUCGGAAUUACUGGGCGUAAAGCGUACGCAGGCGGCUAUGUAAGACAGAUGUGAAAUCCCCGGGCUCAACCUGGGAACUGCAUUUGUGACUGCAUGGCUAGAGUACGGUAGAGGGGGAUGGAAUUCCGCGUGUAGCAGUGAAAUGCGUAGAUAUGCGGAGGAACACCGAUGGCGAAGGCAAUCCCCUGGACCUGUACUGACGCUCAUGCACGAAAGCGUGGGGAGCAAACAGG
Molecule: ribosomal RNA, 253 nt
Filed under: uncultured bacterium
Lineage: Bacteria
Description: partial 16S ribosomal RNA
Rfam family: Bacterial small subunit ribosomal RNA
Source: RNAcentral